AUCAUUUUGUAGUUCAUAAGCACGAUGCCUGGGUAUCCACACACAUGCAUGAAAUAUGCCUCCCUCAAACCUUGUUACAACAUUAGCACAUGACUAUUCUGAGA
This is a small nucleolar RNA of Nycticebus coucang (slow loris), 104 nucleotides long. RefSeq annotates it as small nucleolar RNA U13. Lineage: Eukaryota; Metazoa; Chordata; Mammalia; Primates; Lorisidae. The record is from RefSeq and is a predicted model, not a curated record. The transcript has a single exon.